AAUAGAUACCCCGGUAGUCCACGCCGUAAACGAUGAGUGCUAGGUGUUAGGGGGUCCAACCCUUAGUGCCGAAGUUAACACAUUGAGCACUCCGCCUGGGGAGUACGGUCGCAAGACUGAAACUCAAAGGAAUUGACGGGGGCCCGCACAAGCGGUGGAGCAUGUGGUUUAAUUCGAAGCAACGCGAAGAACCUUACCAGGGCUUGACAUCCCUCUGACCGUUCUAGAGAUAGAGCUUCCCUUCGGGGCAGAGGUGACAGGUGGUGCAUGGUUGUCGUCAGCUCGUGUCGUGAGAUGUUGGGUUAAGUCCCGCAACGAGCGCAACCCUUGUCCUUAGUUGCCAGCAUUCAGUUGGGCACUCUAGGGAGACUGCCGGUGACAAACCGGAGGAAGGUGGGGAUGACGUCAAAUCAUCAUGCCCCUUAUGUCCUGGGCUACACACGUGCUACAAUGGCUGGUACAAAGGGUAGCGAAGCAGUGAUGUGGAGCCAAUCCCAAAAAAGCCAGUCACAGUUCGGAUUGUAGGCUGCAACUCCG
RNAcentral lists this ribosomal RNA (537 nucleotides) under uncultured bacterium. RNAcentral's name for it is "bacterial SSU rRNA". It matches the Rfam family "Bacterial small subunit ribosomal RNA", at positions 777 to 1314 of the family's 1533-position model. The record is from RNAcentral.